AGCUCAGUAGGUAGAGCAACGGAUUGAAAAUCCGUGUGUCCCCAGUUCGAUCCUGGG
This 57-nucleotide transfer RNA is filed under the name Friedmanniomyces endolithicus. RNAcentral describes it as "tRNA-Phe". It matches the Rfam family "tRNA", at positions 9 to 63 of the family's 71-position model. From Rfam's summary of the family: Transfer RNA (tRNA) molecules are approximately 80 nucleotides in length. Their secondary structure includes four short double-helical elements and three loops (D, anti-codon, and T loops). The record is from RNAcentral. Lineage: Eukaryota; Fungi; Ascomycota; Dothideomycetes; Mycosphaerellales; Teratosphaeriaceae.